Molecule: ribosomal RNA, 253 nt
Filed under: uncultured bacterium
Lineage: Bacteria
Description: partial 16S ribosomal RNA
Rfam family: Bacterial small subunit ribosomal RNA
Source: RNAcentral
UACGGAGGGGGCUAGCGUUGUUCGGAAUUACUGGGCGUAAAGCGCACGUAGGCGGCUUGGUAAGUUAGAGGGGAAAGCCCGGAGCUCAACUCCGGAACUGCCUUUAAGACUGCAUCGCUAGAAUUGUGGAGAGGUGAGUGGAAUUCCGAGUGUAGAGGUGAAAUUCGUAGAUAUUCGGAAGAACACCAGUGGCGAAGGCGACUCACUGGACGCAUAUUGACGCUGAGGUGCGAAAGCGUGGGGAGCAAACAGG